GUUCUUCCUUUUCGAUCCGCCAUCUGCGGUGGAGCCGCCACCAAAAUGCAGAUUUUCGUGAAAACCCUUACGGGGAAGACCAUCACCCUCGAGGUACGGGCCAGGUGGUCAUGAGGAAGCCAAGGUCCGAAUAAGGUCCUGAGGUGGAUUUUAGGACCGGCGCUGCUUUCCAUGUCUUAGACCAUGAUUCCGAAUUUGGGUUCUAAAACUUAAGCUUUGAAAUGAGUACCUUUUGCUGAGCAACGACCUAGAGGUGAUUUUCGGUGGCCAAAGGCUGGACUUGUCUCUCGAGGGGUUCCAGCUAGUUAGUUAAAACGGAGGAGCUGCGGUGGGGAAGGAGAUGCUCUGCCCGCCGUGUGCGAGCACGUGUGGCCCUGCGGCCGCCGCCCGCUCUGGGCUGGGGAGAUGAAGGUGCUUUCCGGUAGCCGACUUGGGAGGUUGCCCACUGGGUGGGUAAUAGGUCUCUCAAGUAGGUCUCAGCCCUGUCGCUGGUUCGGUUCAGUGGUAAUUGUCAAACUAAAUGAGUUCUGCUGUAGUUCCUUAAUGUGUAACCAACAUGCUUUCAUUUUAACACUCAUAGGUUGAAC
This 587-nucleotide small RNA is filed under the name Pan troglodytes (chimpanzee). RNAcentral's name for it is "retained intron". The record is from RNAcentral. Lineage: Eukaryota; Metazoa; Chordata; Mammalia; Primates; Hominidae.